AAAAAGAAUAAAAAAGGAUGGAAGAAGAAGAAUAGGAAAGUUUUUUAUAUUAAAGUGAAUUAUCAUACAUAUUUAUGUAGAACGAUGAAUUAGGUACACUUAAUUCAGGUCUAUAUUCCUUGCACUUAUUAACUACUUAAUAUUAUUUAUAUUAGAUAUACUUAUCAUAAGAUAUCUUUAAAAUACAAAUAUUAAAUUGGGGCACCCAUUCUAUGACAGAUCUACCCUCUAUUUUUGUGCCUUUAGUGGGCCU
Molecule: unclassified non-coding RNA, 253 nt
Filed under: Hevea brasiliensis (rubber tree)
Lineage: Eukaryota; Viridiplantae; Streptophyta; Magnoliopsida; Malpighiales; Euphorbiaceae
Source: RNAcentral